RNAcentral lists this transfer RNA (93 nucleotides) under Galerina marginata CBS 339.88. It matches the Rfam family "tRNA". From Rfam's summary of the family: Transfer RNA (tRNA) molecules are approximately 80 nucleotides in length. The record is from Rfam by way of RNAcentral. Lineage: Eukaryota; Fungi; Basidiomycota; Agaricomycetes; Agaricales; Galerinaceae.
GGCAACGUGGCCGAGUGGUCUAAGGCGCUGGAAUUAGGAUCCUUCCGAAUUAUCCAGUCCUCCGGGGCGUGAGUUCGAACCUCACCGUUGUCA